Molecule: non-coding RNA, 73 nt
Organism: Priapulus caudatus
Lineage: Eukaryota; Metazoa; Priapulida; Priapulimorpha; Priapulimorphida; Priapulidae
Source: the annotation of a RefSeq genome assembly
GUUCCUGUAGUGUAGUGGUUAUCACGUUCGCUUUACACGCGAAAGGUCUCAGGUUCGAGCCCUGGCAGGAACA